RNAcentral lists this small RNA (197 nucleotides) under Vibrio cholerae O1 biovar El Tor str. N16961. The record is from RNAcentral. Lineage: Bacteria; Pseudomonadati; Pseudomonadota; Gammaproteobacteria; Vibrionales; Vibrionaceae.
AUCCCAGAGAGGAUGGUAAGAGCCUUUCCAGUUUACGUGUUGUAACUGGUUCCACCGCCAAGUAGGUUGUCGAUAUAAAGUCAUGUUUGUGGUGAAAGCGUUACGGGAGAGACAUGGCUUUGUGUAGGGGGAAACAACCUACUUUUCGCGGCAGUCGGGUGAACGGCUUCAUAGCCGGAGCGUUCACCCUUUCUUUU